RNAcentral lists this ribosomal RNA (523 nucleotides) under uncultured bacterium. RNAcentral's name for it is "partial 16S ribosomal RNA". It matches the Rfam family "Bacterial small subunit ribosomal RNA", at positions 28 to 523 of the family's 1533-position model. The record is from RNAcentral.
GACGAACGCUGGCGGCGUGCCUAAUACAUGCAAGUCGAACGCUUUUUCUUUCACCGGAGCCUGCUCCACCGAAAGAAAAAGAGUGGCGAACGGGUGAGUAACACGUGGGUAACCUGCCCAUCAGAAGGGGAUAACGCUUGGAAACAGGUGCUAAUACCGUAUAACACUAUUUUCCGCAUGGAAGAAAGUUGAAGGGCGCUUUUGCGUCACUGAUGGAUGGACCCGCGGUGAAUUAGCCAGUUGGUGAGGUAACGGCUCACCAAGGCAACGAUGCAUAGCCGACCUGAGAGGGUGAUCGGCCACACUGGGACUGAGACACGGCCCAGACUCCUACGGGAGGUAGCAGUAGGGAAUCUUCGGCAAUGGACGAAAGUCUGACCGAGCAACGCCGCGUGAGUGAAGAAGGUUUUCGGAUCGUAAAACUCUGUUGUUAGAGAAGAACAAGGAUGAGAGUAAAACGUUCAUCCCUUGACGGUAUCUAACCAGAAAGCCACGGCUAACUACGUGCCAGCCGCCGCCGUAA